AAAAAUAAGCUAAAUUAAGCUUUUGGGUUCAUACCCCAAAUAUAAA
This 46-nucleotide transfer RNA is filed under the name Cydia pomonella (codling moth). Its description in RNAcentral is "partial tRNA-Met". The record is from RNAcentral. Lineage: Eukaryota; Metazoa; Arthropoda; Insecta; Lepidoptera; Tortricidae.